Molecule: long non-coding RNA, 321 nt
Filed under: Salmo salar (Atlantic salmon)
Lineage: Eukaryota; Metazoa; Chordata; Actinopteri; Salmoniformes; Salmonidae
Description: lncRNA (ENSSSAG00000111090.1)
Source: RNAcentral
CAUACAGCAACACCUUACUGUCCUGGAGAUGACAGGAGUGUCUGUAGGUUCAUACAGCAACACCUUACUGUCCUGGAGAUGACAGGAGUCUCUGUAGGUUCAUACAGCAACACCUUACUGUCCUGGAGAUGACAGGAGUCUCUGUAGGUUCAUACAGCAACACCUUACUGUCCUGGAGAUGACAGGAGUCUCUGUAGGUCCAUACAGCAUCACCUUACUGUCCUGGAGAUGACAGGUCUUUGUUGCCUCAUGGGGGGGGGAGGAUGAAAGGAAGAUUAGAUGAGUGUCAGACUAUUAGCCAGGAGAGGAAGCGGUUUGGAG